GAUGAACGCUGGCGGCGUGCUUAACACAUGCAAGUCGAGCGAACAGACGAGGAGGUUGCUCUUCUGACGUUAGCGGCGGUUGGAGGAGCAACACGUGGAGAACCUACUUAUUAGACUGGGACAACCUCGGGAAUCCGGAGCGAAUACCGGAUAAUAUACUGCAUCGCAUGGUUCAAUAGCGUAAGACGGUGGUGCUAUCUCUUAUAGAUGGAUCCGCGCCGCCUUAGCUAGUUGGGAAGGGAACGGUUUACCAAGGCAACGACGCGUAGCCGACCUGAGAGGGUGAUCGGCCACACUGGAACUGAGACACGGUCCAGACUCCUACGGGAGGCAGCAGUAGGAAAUCUUCCGCAAUGGGGGAAAGCCGGACGGAGCAACGCCGCGUGAAUGAUGAAGGUCUUCGGACCGUAAAACUCUGUUAUUAGGGAGGAACAAAUGUGUAAGUAGCUGUGCACGUCUUGACGGUACCUAAGCAGAAAGCCACGGCUAACUACGUG
This 497-nucleotide ribosomal RNA is filed under the name uncultured bacterium. RNAcentral's name for it is "partial 16S ribosomal RNA". It matches the Rfam family "Bacterial small subunit ribosomal RNA", at positions 28 to 507 of the family's 1533-position model. The record is from RNAcentral.